GUGCUUGCUUUGACAGCACAUAUACUAAAAAAUUGGAAUGAUACAGAGAAAAUUAGCAUGGCCACUGUGCAAGAAUGACAUGCAAAUUCAUGAAGCAUUCCAUUAAAAA
Molecule: small nuclear RNA, 109 nt
Organism: Papio anubis (olive baboon)
Lineage: Eukaryota; Metazoa; Chordata; Mammalia; Primates; Cercopithecidae
Source: Ensembl